UGCAAGUCGAACGCUGAAGCACCAGCUUGCUGGUGUGGAUGAGUGGCGAACGGGUGAGUAAUACGUGAGUAACCUGCCCUUGACUCUGGGAUAAGCCCGGGAAACUGGGUCUAAUACUGGAUGCUACAUGUCACCGCAUGGUGGUGUGUGGAAAGGGUUUACUGGUCUUGGAUGGGCUCACGGCCUAUCAGCUUGUUGGUGAGGUAAUGGCUCACCAAGGCGACGACGGGUAGCCGGCCUGAGAGGGUGACCGGCCACACUGGGACUGAGACACGGCCCAGACUCCUACGGGAGGCAGCAGUGGGGAAUAUUGCACAAUGGGCGAAAGCCUGAUGCAGCGACGCCGCGUGAGGGAUGACGGCCUUCGGGUUGUAAACCUCUUUCAGCAGGGAAGAAGCCACAAGUGACGGUACCUGCAGAAGAAGCGCCGGCUAACUACGUGCCAGCAGCCGCGGUAAUACGUAGGGCGCAAGCGUUGUCCGGAAUUAUUGGGCGUAAAGAGCUCGUAGGCGGUUUGUCGCGUCUGCUGUGAAAGCCCGGGGCUUAACCCCGGGUGUGCAGUGGGUACGGGCAGACUAGAGUGCAGUAGGGGAGACUGGAAUUCCUGGUGUAGCGGUGGAAUGCGCAGAUAUCAGGAGGAACACCGAUGGCGAAGGCAGGUCUCUGGGCUGUUACUGACGCUGAGGAGCGAAAGCAUGGGGAGCGAACAGGAUUAGAUACCCUGGUAGUCCAUGCCGUAAACGUUGGGCAC
Molecule: ribosomal RNA, 751 nt
Filed under: Kocuria sp. YIM 48797
Lineage: Bacteria; Bacillati; Actinomycetota; Actinomycetes; Micrococcales; Micrococcaceae
Description: bacterial SSU rRNA
Rfam family: Bacterial small subunit ribosomal RNA
Source: RNAcentral